GGAGAAGUCGCCUAGUUGGUCGAGGGCGCACGACUGGAAAUCGUGUAGGCGUUAAAAGCGCCUCCAGAGUUCGAAUCUCUGCUUCUCCGCCA
RNAcentral lists this transfer RNA (92 nucleotides) under Anaerotruncus sp. CAG:390. Its description in RNAcentral is "transfer RNA-Ser(GGA)". It matches the Rfam family "tRNA". From Rfam's summary of the family: Transfer RNA (tRNA) molecules are approximately 80 nucleotides in length. Their secondary structure includes four short double-helical elements and three loops (D, anti-codon, and T loops). Lineage: Bacteria; Bacillati; Bacillota; Clostridia; Eubacteriales; Oscillospiraceae. The record is from RNAcentral. RNAcentral also lists the same sequence under 3 other names.